RNAcentral lists this small nucleolar RNA (92 nucleotides) under Hirsutella minnesotensis 3608. Its description in RNAcentral is "A. fumigatus snoRNA Afu_335". It matches the Rfam family "A. fumigatus snoRNA Afu_335". Lineage: Eukaryota; Fungi; Ascomycota; Sordariomycetes; Hypocreales; Ophiocordycipitaceae. The record is from Rfam by way of RNAcentral.
CGUUGUGAUGAACCCAGAUAGGGACAGCUUAUGCUACGGCACAUGAUGCGAACCCUGGCGAGUAUUUUAGUAGAUGCCUCGAUUUUCUGACA